GUCAGAAGUCUGACACACGUCUCCCUGGGCUAAAAUCAUGGUCUCCCCAGGCUGCAUUUCUUUCUGGAGGUUCUAGAGAAGAAGAAGAUUCCUGUUCCUUUGGGUUGUUGAUAGAAUUCACUUCCUCGUGUCUGUGAGAAUGAAGUCCCCAUUUUCUUGCUGGUUGUAAACUGAAAACUGUUCCUAACUUCUGGAGGCCACCACAUUCCUUGGUUUGUGGCCCCUUCCCUCCAUCUUCAAAGACAGCAGCAGCAAGUUGAGUCCUCACAUUCACUCUCUCCAACCCUUCUAUCUCAUCUCUCUCUGACCACAGGAGGGAAAGAGUUUCCAGUUUAUUUAUUUAUUGCUGAGGAAAAUUCACCCUGAGCUAACAUCUGUUGCCAAUCUUCCUUUUCUUGCCUGAGAAAGACUUGCCCUGAGCUAACAUCUGUGCCAAUCUUCCUCUAUUUUGUAUGUGAGUCGCUGCCACAGCAUGACCGCUGACAAGUGGUGUAGGUCAGUGCCUGGGAACCAAACCUGGGCCGCCGAAGUGGAGCAUGUCAAACUUAACCAGUAGGCCAUGGGGCCCAAGAUUCAAUUUUAAGGACGCAUACAAAUUGAUUGAGUAUCCCCCGGUAAUCCAGGAUAAUCUCCCCAUCUCAAGGUCAGCAGCUUUAAUCACAUCUAUAAAGUCUGUUUUGCCAUGUAAGGUUCUGGGGAUCAGAAUGUGGACAUGUGUGGGCACGCAUCCCCCUGCCUACCAUGUACAUUAGAUGCAGUUUGUUCUAUAACUAAAAAAGGAAAUUAUUUAGAAUUGGCAGCCUGAAAACUCAAGGUAAAAAUGUUCUCCUAAAAUAAGUAAGUGUUCCAUCCUUUGCUUGAAUCUAUGAAAAGGGGGUAGCAGAGAUACAACCAGCUUUUGACAGUAUUCCUUCUCCUCUCCAAAUUUGGUUAUUUUCUUUUUGCUUUAAUCUUUAUUUAAUCUUUGAUUAAGAUUCUUCAGAAGAACAAAGACUGUACUUUUGUCUUUUUGUAAACAUUGACUGCAUCUACCCCCAAAGUGACAGCCGUCGCCAUAGGGCAGAUAAAAAUGGGGCAUUUUCUUCUUGCUAUUCUUAGAUACUGUCAUUUAAAUGGAAACCAAGUUAAAAUAGAGAUAGUGAAUAGUUUAAGAGGCAGAUGUUGCCUUUCUUUGCUAUCUUUUACCCCAAAACUUCAGCUGUGAUCCUAAGACUGACUGGCAAUAUUGUCUACUGUCUUUUAUCAUGCUCCAAAAAGCAGUUGAUUAUCUUGGAAGGGCUUCAAAAGCAAUUAAGAAAAUCCCUUAUGUCAAGUUACAUUUCAGACAGGACAAAUUAGAUGUAUGGGGAAAUGUCCUGAUAAAGUACUCAAGAAAUAAUGAAUCUGUGUACAAUUUGUAAUUGCUCCUGCAAAGAAUUUACAACAUAAAAGAGGUUGUUAACCUGAGACUGGAAGCUCAGAGACGUUUUUUCUUUUCAUUACAAAUGCAAAUGCCUUAUGAAACUGAGCCCAGAGCAUUUUUAAAUGUCCAAAAUGUAAUUCAAAACAUUGUUUAUUACAUUUCUGUCUGGGCUCUUCACUGCAUCACAAGCUGCUUUGUAAAUGCUGAUUUUUAAGCCAGCAGGUCUGCAAUGAAAAAAUGACCCAUUUGGCUCACUAAUGUGGAGCAGAUCCUAAAGGGUGGAUCUGUGCCAGAAGGAAGGGUAAGGGUUAUCACCGAUGCCGCAAACGGGUGGUGAUGGAUGGUGAUUGAAAAGACAUUUCGUUGUUAAAUGUCCAUGAGAUUGCUGCAUUUGGUGUCCACUUUAUACAUUAAAGAUGGACAGAUGGGAUCUUCAAUCUGCAUGACCCCAUCCUUGUGACAACAGAACAGCGCAGGCUCUGUGGAGUCCAUGGAUGGCUGAUAAUUAGUCUGUGGGGACAGGCGUUGGUGGGUUGAAUGUUGGAGGCUGGAGAGUCUCAGUCACGAAUAGGCAUCAUCUAGAUAGAAUACUGUUAUCACAAUGUUGGGAAAUUCAAAUGCAAUUUCCUUUCCUUAUGAACUCUAUUCCCCUUUGAGUAAAAUGAUCUCAACUCUUCCAAACUACUUGAAUUUUAUCCUCAAUUUCCUAACUUUUGAAGUAUGGGUGUGUCCACUGCUAAUUCUUCCCCCGUGAUAAACAUUAGCAAGGGGGAAAUUAUUCUAGGGUUAUCAUACAAUAUUUAUAGACCACUUUUUAUUUGGGAAGUGUUUGAAGGUGUCUUAAAUACGAGCUGUUUCCAAAUAACCUCAGGCUCAUUUUUCAUCUUGAUCCAAAUCCCAUGGAAGCAAACCAAUCAUGAAGCUCUCUCAAAAGUCAUUGGGAGCCCCGGGCUCAGAACCCAGCUGUGGAGCGUGAACUAUUAGGUUCUGUGCUGCUGGAAGCUUGCAGUAACUGACCCACUGGGACUGGCGCUCAUUUAAGAAUCAAAGUUGAUGCUUUGUUUCCAGAAGCCUUUGCCCGAGCUGGGGAAAGUAGACUAAAUCCCUCAUAGGAGUUCAAACUGUAUAGACCUUACUUUUUACACGAUUGCUUUUGAAAUGGUUCAACAAAGUGAUGUCUCUUCUGUUUAAAGAACAGGAAACAACAACAACAACAAAGCCAGUGAAAAACAAAUGUCAGGGUAUUCCUAUCCACAGGAUGACUCUGAUUUCCAAGUUUGUCUUCAUUAACGUUCUAGUCCACUUUCAUCGGUCCCCAUCCUCUCCUGGUGAGCUUUUUCCCACUCCCAUUCCCAAAUACCAUCACAGAGACAUACAUUGAAACCUCCCCGUUAUUUCUCUUACCUUGAUCUGCCUUGCUCUGACUUACAACUUGAUCGUAUUCCUUUCUCUCUCUCAUCAAAGUAUGUUUGUCCUGAUUCUCUCCAGAGUCAGCAUUUGACAUAGUAAUAAUAAUGUUACUAAGUACAUGUCUAGAUGCUCUACUUGUAUAAAUCCAUUUAUGCUCAAAACAACCCUCAGGUAGUUGCUAUUCUUGUGCUUGUUUACAGAUGGAGGAAUGGGAGGCACAGUGUUGAUAAGCGUGUUGUUUACGUCUCACAGCUGGCAAGUGGUGGAGUCAGGAUUCAGGCUCAGGUGAUCUGGCCCCAGAGCCCACACUAUUCACGUCUGCUUUUCUCAGGCUCUCAUAGAGGGGAGAACAGCAGUGUCAGGUCAGAUAGACAUGGGUUUGAAUGCAGAUCCUGACGUUUCACUGGCUGUUUGACCUUGGGCAAAUAGGUAACUUCUCUGAGCAUUAGUUUCCUCAACAGUGAAAUAGGGAUAUUUAUGUGAAGAAAACUGAGAUAACCCCCAUAAAAGUUCAUGACCCUAUAGAUGCUUGGGCAAGUUUAAAGUUUAGCUAACCCAUUCUCUCCCUCUGUUCUCUCCUCAACUACAUAAUUUAGCUGAUUUCUGUAUGCUGAUGGGGAAAGUGGUUUAAUAGGCUGCCUCUCUCUUGAGGUAGCUUCAGGCAUUGUGAUUUUUCAAAUUGGCAGACUUUUCAAUGCUUCAAUCCACCUAGGCGAGGACUCCAUCUUCUCUGAAGUUGUGCCAAGUCACAUGUGCUUGGGGGGACUUGUUUUUAAUCUAGAACUUUGAUAUUUCACUUUACACGUGCUCGUUGAUGUGAUCUUCAGGAAAUGUUUGGAAUGAAGAAAUGAAGGGGAGCAGCACCCACCUGCAUCUGGGUGGCCCAGUGUUUCGUUGGUUCGAAUCCUAGGCACAGACAUGGCACUGCUCAUCAAACCACGCUGAGGCAGCAUCCCACAUGCCACAACUAGAAGGACCCACAACGAAGAAUAUACAACUAUGUACUGGGGGCUUUGGGGAGAAAAAGGAGAAAUAAAAUCUUAAAAAAAAAAAGGUGUGCUUUGCAUACUGUUAUGUUACUUCUUUUUUCCACUGGACAGUGUUUUGUAGGUG
This is a long non-coding RNA of Equus caballus (horse), 3925 nucleotides long. The record is from Ensembl. NCBI's taxonomy places the organism in Eukaryota, Metazoa, Chordata, Mammalia, Perissodactyla, Equidae.